This 402-nucleotide long non-coding RNA is filed under the name Elaeis guineensis (African oil palm). RNAcentral's name for it is "long non-coding RNA (EGUI_LNC029497)". Lineage: Eukaryota; Viridiplantae; Streptophyta; Magnoliopsida; Arecales; Arecaceae. The record is from RNAcentral.
AUGUAGAUGUGGUGCUCCCUCCAACUUGAUUAAUGAUCUUUCUUAUUAAGUUUCUACAAAAUAAAAAAAAUUGGAUAAUUGAAAAAAUGCAUACGCUAGGUUGCUUCCCAACAAGCGCUAAGUUUAAAAUUUUUAAUCAGACUAUGCAAUUCUCUCACUUAUCCUGGAUCAAACAUUGGAUUGAAAAAUUUCAGAGAUCUUUCACCCCCAAUUUUACAAAAAUAGCUUGCAACCCCAUUAUUGAUAUUUUCAAUUUUAGGAAGAUAGUUUGCAACCCCUUUCUCAGUCCCUUAUUCAUUGAGAAUUUCUCUUAUAUCUUCUUCUAAAAUGAUCCUAAAUUGCAUUUCUAGGUUAUGCAUUGAGUUCGAUGCAUUGAUUAUCAGGACGAUGUCAUUUGGUCCU